RNAcentral lists this ribosomal RNA (414 nucleotides) under Clostridioides difficile. RNAcentral's name for it is "bacterial SSU rRNA". It matches the Rfam family "Bacterial small subunit ribosomal RNA", at positions 405 to 841 of the family's 1533-position model. The record is from RNAcentral. Lineage: Bacteria; Bacillati; Bacillota; Clostridia; Peptostreptococcales; Peptostreptococcaceae.
GUGAUGAAGGCCUUCGGGUCGUAAAACUCUGUCCUCAAGGAAGAUAAUGACGGUACUUGAGGAGGAAGCCCCGGCUAACUACGUGCCAGCAGCCGCGGUAAUACGUAGGGGGCUAGCGUUAUCCGGAGUUACUGGGCGUAAAGGGUGCGUAGGCGGUCUUUCAAGUCAGGAGUGAAAGGCUACGGCUCAACCGUAGUAAGCUCUUGAAACUGGGAGACUUGAGUGCAGGAGAGGAGAGUGGAAUUCCUAGUGUAGCGGUGAAAUGCGUAGAUAUUAGGAGGAACACCAGUUGCGAAGGCGGCUCUCUGGACUGUAACUGACGCUGAGGCACGAAAGCGUGGGGAGCAAACAGGAUUAGAUACCCUGGUAGUCCACGCUGUAAACGAUGAGUACUAGGUGUCGGGGGUUACCCCC